GAUGAACGCUGGCGGCGUGCCUAAUACAUGCAAGUCGAGCGAACAGGCGCUGCUCUUGCUGCUCUGACGUUAGCCGCGCACGUGUGAAUAACACGUGUAAAACGCACCUGUAAGACUGGGAUAACUUCGGGACACCGGCGCUUAUCCCGGAUAAUAUCUUGCACCACAUGGUUCAAUGGUGAAUGACGGCUUUUCUGUCUCUUAUCGCUGCAUCUCGGCCGCAUGAGCUAGUUGUUACGGUAACGGCUUACGAAGGCAAGGAUGCGUAGCCGACCUGUGGGGCGGAUCGGCCACAUGGGAGCGUGAACGCGGUCAUGACUCCUAAGGGAGGCAGCAGUAGGGAACGUGCCGCAAUGGGCGAAAGUAUUACGGAGCAACGCCGCGUGAGUGAUGAAGGUCCUCGGAGCGUAAAACUCUGUUACGAGGGAAGAACAAAUGUGUAAGUAACUAUGCACGGCGUGACGGUACCGAAUCAGAAAGCCACGGCUAACUACGUG
Molecule: ribosomal RNA, 497 nt
Filed under: uncultured bacterium
Lineage: Bacteria
Description: partial 16S ribosomal RNA
Rfam family: Bacterial small subunit ribosomal RNA
Source: RNAcentral